This 861-nucleotide ribosomal RNA is filed under the name Enterococcus sp. f50-4-u8f. RNAcentral's name for it is "bacterial SSU rRNA". It matches the Rfam family "Bacterial small subunit ribosomal RNA", at positions 73 to 919 of the family's 1533-position model. The record is from RNAcentral. Lineage: Bacteria; Bacillati; Bacillota; Bacilli; Lactobacillales; Enterococcaceae.
UUGCUCCACCGAAAGAAAAAGAGUGGCGAACGGGUGAGUAACACGUGGGUAACCUGCCCAUCAGAAGGGGAUAACACUUGGAAACAGGUGCUAAUACCGUAUAACACUAUUUUCCGCAUGGAAGAAAGUUGAAAGGCGCUUUUGCGUCACUGAUGGAUGGACCCGCGGUGCAUUAGCUAGUUGGUGAGGUAACGGCUCACCAAGGCAACGAUGCAUAGCCGACCUGAGAGGGUGAUCGGCCACACUGGGACUGAGACACGGCCCAGACUCCUACGGGAGGCAGCAGUAGGGAAUCUUCGGCAAUGGACGAAAGUCUGACCGAGCAACGCCGCGUGAGUGAAGAAGGUUUUCGGAUCGUAAAACUCUGUUGUUAGAGAAGAACAAGGAUGAGAGUAAAAUGUUCAUCCCUUGACGGUAUCUAACCAGAAAGCCACGGCUAACUACGUGCCAGCAGCCGCGGUAAUACGUAGGUGGCAAGCGUUGUCCGGAUUUAUUGGGCGUAAAGCGAGCGCAGGCGGUUUCUUAAGUCUGAUGUGAAAGCCCCCGGCUCAACCGGGGAGGGUCAUUGGAAACUGGGAGACUUGAGUGCAGAAGAGGAGAGUGGAAUUCCAUGUGUAGCGGUGAAAUGCGUAGAUAUAUGGAGGAACACCAGUGGCGAAGGCGGCUCUCUGGUCUGUAACUGACGCUGAGGCUCGAAAGCGUGGGGAGCGAACAGGAUUAGAUACCCUGGUAGUCCACGCCGUAAACGAUGAGUGCUAAGUGUUGGAGGGUUUCCGCCCUUCAGUGCUGCAGCAAACGCAUUAAGCACUCCCGCCUGGGGAGUACGACCGCAAGGUUGAAACUCAAAGGAAUUGACGGGGG